CCCUUAGAUGUUCUGGGCCGCACGCGCGCUACACUGACGAAUGCAACGAGCUUAUAACCUUGGCCGAAAGGUCUGGGUAAUCUCCAAAUUUCGUCGUGAUGGGGAUAGAUUAUUGCAAUUAUUAAUCUUCAACGAGAAAUGCCUAGUAAGCGCAAGUCAUCAGCUUGCGUUGAUUACGUCCCUGCCCUUUGUACACACCGCCCGUCGCUCCUACCGAUUGAAUGGUCCGGUGAAGCGUUCGGACCGUGGCCUUUGGACGGUUCGCCGUCUGUUGGCUGCGGGAAGUUCGUUAAACCUUAUCAUUUAGAGGAAGGAGAAGUCGUAACA
This 327-nucleotide ribosomal RNA is filed under the name uncultured eukaryote. Its description in RNAcentral is "partial 18S ribosomal RNA". It matches the Rfam family "Eukaryotic small subunit ribosomal RNA", at positions 1470 to 1796 of the family's 1831-position model. The record is from RNAcentral.